UACGUAGGGGGCAAGCGUUGUCCGGAUUUAUUGGGCGUAAAGAGCGUGUAGGCGGCCAAGCAGGUCCGCUGUGAAAACUCGAGGCUCAACCUCGAGACGUCGGUGGAAACCGUUUGGCUAGAGUCCGGAAGAGGAGGGUGGAAUUCCCGGUGUAGCGGUGAAAUGCGCAGAUAUCGGGAAGAACACCCGUGGCGAAGGCGGCUCUCUGGGACGGUACUGACGCUGAGACGCGAAAGCGUGGGGAGCGAACAGG
This 253-nucleotide ribosomal RNA is filed under the name uncultured bacterium. RNAcentral's name for it is "partial 16S ribosomal RNA". It matches the Rfam family "Bacterial small subunit ribosomal RNA", at positions 524 to 776 of the family's 1533-position model. The record is from RNAcentral.